GUUUUGAUUUUUUCUCUUUGUGUCUCU
RNAcentral lists this small RNA (27 nucleotides) under Arabidopsis thaliana (thale cress). Its description in RNAcentral is "ATSL178800". The record is from RNAcentral. Lineage: Eukaryota; Viridiplantae; Streptophyta; Magnoliopsida; Brassicales; Brassicaceae.